AGGAGAAAGGAAAGUUAGUGAGAAAAUAUGAUAAUAAUAAUAAUAAUAAUAAUAAUAAUAAUAAUAAUUUUGUUUUGAUACGAUACAUGAUUGUACAAGGAAUAUAAAAGUUGGGGGUACAUGCCAAAAGCCCCUUUGUAUGCACAGCAUUUCAGGCAAACUUAAAAUUAACUUUAGAUUAAUAAGGCAAUAACAGUUCAUAUAGUCAUUAGAUGAGUUACAAUGAGUACAAGAGAAAUGAGCAUUCUAUUAGGUAAUUUUAUAAGGCUUUAAUACGUCUAGUAGAGAAGUUCAGUAUAGAAUUACAGUUUUGAUACAGCUUAUAAUAUACCGAAGGUAAUGAAAUCAAGAGUAUGAAAUUUGAUGGAAAACUUACAGAAUUAUCCUCUUACAAAGUUAGCGAUCUUGGCGAUAUUUACACAUCGGCAAGUUUGCCCAAUUUACGCUCUAUUUUUGGCCAAUUCCAUUGUUUCAGUCGACCAAACUCAUAGCUUGUUUUGCUAGUAUUCCUUCCAUUCUAUCAAAUGAACACAAGAAACUGCCCAUUUACCUAUUUCAACUACCUAAUAAAGUGAUCAGAAAUUGGUAAAUUGGCCAAUUUCACACAAAGUUCGGUAAUUGCCAAUUUGAAAAUAGGAUCUAGAAUAAACAAUGUAGAUAUUCCUGGCACUAAAUAAACAUUUCCAUUGCUUCUUAGACAUGUCUCAAGGCCCCUCUUAUAUUAUGCUUGCUUUUCAUUUUGAAUUUUUAUUCACACAAAAAAACUGAAAAUUUACUUUUAUGCAGACUACUGCAUUAUUGCAAUAACUGUAUAAAUAAUGUCAGUGCAUUCCUAAAUGCAUAUUAGACUGGCCAGUUGAAUGCAUAUUGGACAAGUGUACUCUGGAACAUCAGUAAAAAUCAAACAUUUCCAUUACUCAGAGCUCAAUUUCAAGCUACUUUCAGUCCUGAAACUAACCAAACUCAUCUCUAUUUCUGUAAUAUACCUUCCAUUCUAUCAAAUGAGAAUAAGAAAUUGAGAAUAUAACCAUAAAAACCAUACGACAAUACACUGCAAAGUCGCUGUUGUAAACCAAAAACACGAUCAGUUUUUUCUUAUGCAAUGUGUGCUGCAGGAUUUUUUUUUUAUAUGGUGCACACUUACCACAUAGACCCAUUUUCUCAUAUCUAGGCCCAAAUUUAUCACUCACAGCUUAUCUGAGUGAGAUGAGCUCAUGGCGUCAUACUACGGGACUGACACUGGCUUCAAAGCCGUGAUACAGCGGGACCAACAAUGAAAGGAUUAAAAUACUACAACAGAGGGAGAAGCAAGCAGUGUCUCAGUACCUAAGGAUUCACCAUGAUGCAUGGAGGUGUGCCUCACUCCACGAUAAAAUAUAGUCGUGUUUGUUUGGUUGAGUGCUAAGCUUUGUUCGAGUAUGGAGCUGUUCAAGUACCAAGGUUCCACUGUAAUCAGCUACACAUGCAUUUCCUGGAAUAUCUUGAAAAAUUCUGGUCCAUGGCUGUCCCGAUACCUGCAUCCCUGGGUCACAUGCAGAGAGAUUGCUGAUAAUUGGUUGGAGACUGAAGAGGGCUGACAACACUGGUGAUUGUGGAGCACUGGAUAGAGGAAGAUGUGGAAGAAAAUGCAAGGUUAUCAUAAGAAAUAGUGUGAAGGAUCCCAAGACCAACAAAGAUCUACAGAGAAAUUUGACUUCAGCUGGUAUAAAUGUUGAUUCUUCAACUGUUCAAUGAAGGCUUCUUGAAGUUGGCAGAACUGCCAGAAAGCCGGUAAAGAAACAAUUAUUGACUGCUACUAUGAAAAAAAAGGGCUGCGGUGAGCACCUGAUUUUAAGGGAUGGACAACAUAUGAAUGGAAAAAAGUUCAAUUUUCAGAUGAGGUGCAUUUUCAAGUUUAUGGGUACAGAUCAGUGGUAGUGAGAUGGAGCAAAGGUGAACCUCUUUGGAAUGAACACAUUGAACAAGUGCCAAAACACCCACCUAAGAAGAUGUUUUGAGGUAGUUUUACUGCUAAAGGCCCUGGAUGGCUUGUUAUUGUUGAGGGAAUGAUGAACAAUGACAAAGAGAAGCCAAUUCUCAUUUGCUUUCCAUUGUGGAUAGAGACUUUCCUGAUGGAAAAGGCAUUUUCCAGCAGGAUCUUACUCUGUGCCACACUUUCAGAAAAAUGCUGACAUUCUUUGAAGAGAGUGGGAUAAGCAUUCUAAAUUUGCCUGGAACCUCUCCUUACCUCAACCCUACUGAGAAUCAAUGGGCAAUAACCAAACGCAGGAUUACGAAACAGGACUGUUCAACUGUGGAGAAAAUAACUCCUGUUAUUAGGACCUGGUACCACAAUGAAGAACUUGCCAAAAUGUGUUCAACAUUGACAGGUCUAUUCCAAAGCACAUAGUAAUGCUUAUAAAAGCAAAAGGUAGUCAUAUUGCUUAUUAAAUCAAUUAUCUGUCAAAUCAUUACUGUGUAUUUUUCAAAUAAACAUUAAUUUU
This is a long non-coding RNA of Cherax quadricarinatus, 2483 nucleotides long. RefSeq lists it as uncharacterized. NCBI's taxonomy places the organism in Eukaryota, Metazoa, Arthropoda, Malacostraca, Decapoda, Parastacidae. The record is from RefSeq and is a predicted model, not a curated record.